This 700-nucleotide ribosomal RNA is filed under the name uncultured bacterium. RNAcentral's name for it is "bacterial SSU rRNA". It matches the Rfam family "Bacterial small subunit ribosomal RNA", at positions 8 to 756 of the family's 1533-position model. The record is from RNAcentral.
AGAGUUUGAUCAUGGCUCAGAACGAACGCUGGCGGCAGGCUUAACACAUGCAAGUCGAGCGCCCCGCAAGGGGAGCGGCAGACGGGUGAGUAACGCGUGGGAAUCUACCCAGCUCUACGGAACAACUCCGGGAAACUGGAGCUAAUACCGUAUACGUCCUUCGGGAGAAAGAUUUAUCGGAGUUGGAUGAGCCCGCGUUGGAUUAGCUAGUUGGUGGGGUAAUGGCCUACCAAGGCGACGAUCCAUAGCUGGUCUGAGAGGAUGAUCAGCCACACUGGGACUGAGACACGGCCCAGACUCCUACGGGAGGCAGCAGUGGGGAAUAUUGGACAAUGGGCGAAAGCCUGAUCCAGCCAUGCCGCGUGAGUGAUGAAGGCCCUAGGGUUGUAAAGCUCUUUCACCGGUGAAGAUAAUGACGGUAACCGGAGAAGAAGCCCCGGCUAACUUCGUGCCAGCAGCCGCGGUAAUACGAAGGGGGCUAGCGUUGUUCGGAAUUACUGGGCGUAAAGCGCACGUAGGCGGACUAUUAAGUCAGGGGUGAAAUCCCGGGGCUCAACCCCGGAACUGCCUUUGAUACUGGUAGUCUCGAGUCCGGAAGAGGUGAGUGGAAUUCCGAGUGUAGAGGUGAAAUUCGUAGAUAUUCGGAGGAACACCAGUGGCGAAGGCGGCUCACUGGUCCGGUACUGACGCUGAGGUGCGA